RNAcentral lists this ribosomal RNA (256 nucleotides) under uncultured bacterium. RNAcentral describes it as "partial 16S ribosomal RNA". It matches the Rfam family "Bacterial small subunit ribosomal RNA", at positions 80 to 334 of the family's 1533-position model. The record is from RNAcentral.
CAAACCAAAAGCUGGCGACCGGCGCACGGGUGAGUAACACGUAUCCAACCUGCCUCAUACUCGGGGAUAGCCUUUCGAAAGAAAGAUUAAUAUCCGAUAGCAUAUAUUUCCCGCAUGGGUUUUAUAUUAAAGAAAUUCGGUAUGAGAUGGGGAUGCGUUCCAUUAGUUUGUUGGGGGGGUAACGGCCCACCAAGACUACGAUGGAUAGGGGUUCUGAGAGGAAGGUCCCCCACAUUGGAACUGAGACACGGUCCAA